RNAcentral lists this ribosomal RNA (492 nucleotides) under uncultured bacterium. RNAcentral's name for it is "partial 16S ribosomal RNA". It matches the Rfam family "Bacterial small subunit ribosomal RNA", at positions 28 to 507 of the family's 1533-position model. The record is from RNAcentral.
GAUGAACGCUAGCUACAGGCUUAACACAUGCAAGUCGAGGGGAAACGGCAUCGAAAGCUUGCUUUUGAUGGGCGUCGACCGGCGCACGGGUGAGUAACGCGUAUCCAACCUGCCCAUCACUUGGGAAUAACCUUGCGAAAGUAAGACUAAUGCCCAAUGACAUCCCACGAAGGCAUCCGAAUGGGAUUAAAGAUUUAUCGGUGAUGGAUGGGGAUGCGUCUGAUUAGCUUGUUGGCGGGGUGACGGCCCACCAAGGCAACGAUCAGUAGGGGUUCUGAGAGGAAGGUCCCCCACAUUGGAACUGAGACACGGUCCAAACUCCUACGGGAGGCAGCAGUGAGGAAUAUUGGUCAAUGGGCGAGAGCCUGAACCAGCCAAGUAGCGUGCAGGAGGACGGCCCUAUGGGUUGUAAACUGCUUUUAUAAGGGAAUAAAGUGGGUCACGUGUGACUUUUUGCAUGUACCUUAUGAAUAAGGACCGGCUAAUUCCGUG